CGGAGGUGCGAGCGUUAUCCGGAUUAUUGGGUUUAAAGGGUCCGUAGGCGGACUCGUAAGUCAGUGGUGAAAUCUCACAGCUUAACUGUGAAACUGCCGUUGAUACUGCGGGUCUUGAGUAAGGUAGAAGUGGCUGGAAUAAGUAGUGUAGCGGUGAAAUGCAUAGAUAUUACUUAGAACACCAAUUGCGAAGGCAGGUCACUAUGUCUUAACUGACGCUGAUGGACGAAAGCGUGGGGAGCGAACAGGAUU
This 252-nucleotide ribosomal RNA is filed under the name uncultured bacterium. RNAcentral describes it as "partial 16S ribosomal RNA". It matches the Rfam family "Bacterial small subunit ribosomal RNA", at positions 527 to 779 of the family's 1533-position model. The record is from RNAcentral.